CAGAUCACGUGGGGUGUUAGUCGUUGAACAAACGAACCUUUGACAGCUGCUGCGCCGUCGGGAUACCCCGAUCCAACAUCGAGGUCGUAGAUCUUCUUGUUAAUAGGGACUUUUGAGAAGGUGGCGCUGUUAUCCCUGGGGUAGCUUAUUUCAUUGGUCAGUGUGACUGGAUCAGGCUGUGUCUUAGGCUUGUUAGUCUUGGUGAUGUCAGAAGUUAAUUUUUUCUAAAGUUGUCCCAACUAAAAUUAUCGUUCAGUUUGCGUAAACGGGUUAUUAAGUUCCACAGGGUCUUUUUGUCUUGCUCUAGUAUGCCAGCUUUUGUACUGGCAGUUCAACUUCAUUGGCUAGUCUUAGGAGACAGGUUUUCUCUCGUGCUGCCUUUCAUACGAGUCCUCAUUUAAAGGACAAGUGAUUGUGCUACCUUUGCACGGUUUUGGUGCCGCGGCCGUUUAGGGGUUCCACAGGGCAGGCGCUACUUCUAAUAUUUGUUUGGCUAGAAGCUAUGUUUUU
RNAcentral lists this ribosomal RNA (510 nucleotides) under Rhampholeon moyeri. RNAcentral's name for it is "16S ribosomal RNA". The record is from RNAcentral. Lineage: Eukaryota; Metazoa; Chordata; Lepidosauria; Squamata; Chamaeleonidae.